Molecule: ribosomal RNA, 603 nt
Filed under: uncultured bacterium
Lineage: Bacteria
Description: bacterial SSU rRNA
Rfam family: Bacterial small subunit ribosomal RNA
Source: RNAcentral
UGCAGUGGAGCGACGAACCAGGCUUCGGCCUGGGGCAAAGCCGCGAACGGGUGAGUAACACGUGGGUAACCUGCCCCGAUGACCGGGACAACUCGAGGAAACUCGAGCUAAUACCGGAUGUGCUGCCCUCGCAUCAGCGAGGGUUGGAAAGGAAGCUUCGGCCUCCGCAUCGGGAUGGGCCCGCGGCCCAUUAGCUUGUUGGUGAGGUAACGGCUCACCAAGGCCGCGAUGGGUAGCUGGUCUGAGAGGACGAUCAGCCACACUGGGACUGAGACACGGCCCAGACUCCUACGGGAGGCAGCAGUGGGGAAUCUUGCGCAAUGCGCGAAAGCGUGACGCAGCAACGCCGCGUGGGGGAAGAAGGCCUUCGGGUCGUAAACCCCUUUCAGGAGGGACGAAGCCCGGGCGGUUAAUAGCCGACCCGCGUGACGGUACCUCCACAAGAAGCCCCGGCUAACUACGUGCCAGCAGCCGCGGUAAUACGUAGGGGGCAAGCGUUGUCCGGAAUUAUUGGGCGUAAAGAGCGUGUAGGCGGUCCGGUAAGUCGGCUGUGAAAGUCCAGGGCUCAACCCUGGGAUGCCGGUCGAUACUGCCGGACUAGAG